AGCGAACGCUGGCGGCAGGCCUAACACAUGCAAGUCGAACGGACCCUUCGGGGUUGGUGGCGGACGGGUGAGUAACACGUGGGAACGUGCCUUUAGGUUCGGAAUAGCUCCUGGAAACGGGUGGUAAUGCCGAAUGUGCCCUUCGGGGGAAAGAUUUAUCGCCUUUAGAGCGGCCCGCGUCUGAUUAGCUAGUUGGUGAGGUAACGGCUCACCAAGGCGACGAUCAGUAGCUGGUCUGAGAGGAUGACCAGCCACACUGGGACUGAGACACGGCCCAGACUCCUACGGGAGGCAGCAGUGGGGAAUCUUGCGCAAUGGGCGAAAGCCUGACGCAGCCAUGCCGCGUGAAUGAUGAAGGUCUUAGGAUUGUAAAAUUCUUUCACCGGGGACGAUAAUGACGGUACCCGGAGAAGAAGCCCCGGCUAACUUCGUG
This 433-nucleotide ribosomal RNA is filed under the name uncultured bacterium. RNAcentral's name for it is "partial 16S ribosomal RNA". It matches the Rfam family "Bacterial small subunit ribosomal RNA", at positions 29 to 507 of the family's 1533-position model. The record is from RNAcentral.